CCCAGGCGUUUCCACUCAGUGAUCAGCACUCAACACAGAGGACUCACCAUGGAGUUUGGGCUGAGCUGGAUUUUCCUUGUUGCUAUUUUAAAAGGUGUCCAGUGUGAGGUGCAGCUGGUGGAGUCUGGGGGAGGCUUGGUGCAGCCUGGGGGGUCCCUGAGACUCACCUGUGCAGCCUCUGGAUUCACCUUCAGUAACUACUACAUGUACUGGGUCCGCCAGGCUCAAGGGAAAGGGCUAGAGUGGGUAGGUUUAAUAAGAAACAAGGCUAACAGUUACACCACAGAAUAUGCUGCAGCUGUGAAAGGCAGAUUUACCAUCUCAAGAGAUGAUUCAAAGAACACACUGUAUCUGCAAAUGAGCGGCCUGAAAACCGAGGACACGGCCGUGUAUUACUGUACCACAGACACAGUGAGGGGAGGUCAGUGUGAGCCCAGACACAAACCUCCUUGCAGGGGUGCGCGUGGCCACCAGGGGGCGCUCGGGACCCACUGA
Chlorocebus sabaeus (green monkey) is the source of this 495-nucleotide non-coding RNA. NCBI's taxonomy places the organism in Eukaryota, Metazoa, Chordata, Mammalia, Primates, Cercopithecidae. The record is from the annotation of a RefSeq genome assembly.